Molecule: ribosomal RNA, 774 nt
Filed under: uncultured Neocallimastigales
Lineage: Eukaryota; Fungi; Neocallimastigomycota; Neocallimastigomycetes; Neocallimastigales
Description: partial large subunit ribosomal RNA
Rfam family: Eukaryotic large subunit ribosomal RNA
Source: RNAcentral
GAGACUCUGUGCGCGUGCAUAUCAAUAAGCGGAGGAAAAGAAACUAACAAGGAUUCCCUUAGUAACGGCGAGUGAAGCGGGAAGAGCUCAAAUUUGAAAUUUCCAAGGUUCUACCUUGACGAAUUGUAGUUUAUAGAAGUGUUUUCUGUUAGUAGAGUGGCAAAAGUUCUUUGGAAUAGGACAUCAUAGAGGGUGAGAGUCCCGUAUUUGGUCAUUCUUUCUAGCUUUGUGAUACACUUUCAACGAGUCGGACUGUUUGGGAAUGCAGUCCAAAAUGGGUGGUAAAUUUCAUCUAAAGCUAAAUAUUGGCGAGAGACCGAUAGCGAACAAGUACCGUGAGGGAAAGAUGAAAAGAACUUUGAAAAGAGAGUUAAACAGUACGUGAAAUUGUCAAAAGGGAAGCGUUUGACACCAGUGUUGUUUUUCCGAAAAUCAAUUACGAAUGUUUUAUUUUUGAGAAGUUAUGACUUCAUCGGCUUGCUUCUCUCUUUAUGAAACUUUCUUAAUGCACUUUUCGGUUAACAAGUCAACAUCAAUUUCUUUUGUUGUAAAAGGGUAUGAGGAAGGUGGCUUUCUCUUCGGAGAAAGUGUUUAUAGCCUUGUACCUCUGCAAUCGGAGAGAUUGAGGUCUGCAGCGUAGAUCCUUCGGGGUUAGAUACAUUUGUGCUAAGUUAUAGCUUUUCAUAGACAACUUGUUGACUAUGUUUAGUCUUGUAGCUUACUCGCUUAUGCUAUUUUACCUACGCUUAGGAUGUUGACAGCAGUAUAGACUGU